GAGCCUCAAACAGACAUAAAAUUCCCGAUUAACCGAUUAACAUUCAUCGAAAAAAAAUAUUUUUCUCAGAUAAUCGAAGAAAAACUUCAGCGAAAGCUUCAUCAAGCAUCGAUAACACAUAACAGGGAAGGAUCGGAAGAUUUCCCCGCUCUGAUACCAUGAAAACAUGGAGAUUUGGAGAAGAAAACCAGAGAAGAUGAAGAUGAACAGUGAGAAGUAGAGAGAGAUGAGAAGCUUCUGGAGGAAACCCGAGAAGCAAA
Molecule: long non-coding RNA, 260 nt
Filed under: Nicotiana benthamiana
Lineage: Eukaryota; Viridiplantae; Streptophyta; Magnoliopsida; Solanales; Solanaceae
Description: long non-coding RNA (NBEN_LNC012180)
Source: RNAcentral